AGACAGCAGCCGCCGCGGAAAACGGAGGGAGCUAGCGUUGUUCGGAAUUACCGGGCGUAAAGCGCGCGUAGGCGGUUACUCAAGUCAGAGGUGAAAGCCCGGGGCUCAACCCCGGAACUGCCUUUGAAACUAGGUGACUAGAAUCUUGGAGAGGUCAGUGGAAUUCCGAGUGUAGAGGUGAAAUUCGUAGAUAUUCGGAAGAACACCAGUGGCGAAGGCGACUGACUGGACAAGUAUUGACGCUGAGGUGCGAAAGCGUGGGGAGCAAACAGGAUUAGAUACCCGCGUAGUCCCUGUCUCUUAUACA
This 307-nucleotide ribosomal RNA is filed under the name uncultured bacterium. Its description in RNAcentral is "partial 16S ribosomal RNA". It matches the Rfam family "Bacterial small subunit ribosomal RNA", at positions 506 to 808 of the family's 1533-position model. The record is from RNAcentral.